Long non-coding RNA from Cyprinus carpio (common carp), 618 nucleotides. RefSeq lists it as uncharacterized. The transcript is spliced from 3 exons. The record is from RefSeq and is a predicted model, not a curated record. NCBI's taxonomy places the organism in Eukaryota, Metazoa, Chordata, Actinopteri, Cypriniformes, Cyprinidae.
GAGAAUUGUGCAGGCAUUGAGAUCUAGGAGAGUUAAAGCUCUCGUUGCUGUUAAUGAACUCACACUUGAUCGGAAGGAUAAACAGCGGUCAGCGAGGAAACUGUCCAGGUUGCUGAGCAGCUUAGCCAUCCUUCUGAGAAUCUGGAGUGUCCAGUGUUUAAACUUGACUGAAUACAAGAUUCAUUCUGUUUCUCUAUUGGUCCUACUGUGUCCAUGAGGGACCAGUGAUUCUCAGACCAUCAAAGGAGACUCUCCAGAAGCUGGUUGAAUGUGUCCAUAAAGCUCAAGAAGAGGAACUGACUCAGUGCUUCCUGCAGAAAGUGGGUGGAGAUCUGACUUCCUGUUCCUUAAACUGGGAAGAGCUGCACUAUUUCCUGCUGCACAGCAUUGACCAAAUCACUCUACACCUUAGAAAGAGCAACAUUCAAUGCAACAUAAGAGAAAUUCUGCCAUUCCUGAACAGGAUCAAGUUUAAAACGGAUGAGCUCUAGCUUCAUGCUGUCUGUAAACAGAGAGAUCUAUGAGUCCGGCUCUGUUGGUUUUGUGUCCAGUCUGUUGAGUUCAGUGAAGAACUACAUUAACCUGCAGAGCAGAGAACUGGACUCUGUUCACUGUGCA